This 497-nucleotide ribosomal RNA is filed under the name uncultured bacterium. RNAcentral describes it as "partial 16S ribosomal RNA". It matches the Rfam family "Bacterial small subunit ribosomal RNA", at positions 28 to 507 of the family's 1533-position model. The record is from RNAcentral.
GACGAACGCUGGCGGCGUGCCUAAUACAUGCAAGUUGAGCGCUGAAGGUUGGUACUUGUACCAACUGGAUGAGCAGCGAACGGGUGAGUAACGCGUGGGUAAUCUGCCUUUGAGCGGGGGACAACAUUUGGAAACGAAUGCUAAUACCGCAUAAAAACUUUAAACACAAGUUUUAAGUUUGAAAGAUGCAAUUGCAUCACUCAAAGAUGAUCCCGCGUUGUAUUAGCUAGUUGGUGAGGUAAAGGCUCACCAAGGCGAUGAUACAUAGCCGACCUGAGAGGGUGAUCGGCCACAUUGGGACUGAGACACGGCCCAAACUCCUACGGGAGGCAGCAGUAGGGAAUCUUCGGCAAUGGACGAAAGUCUGACCGAGCAACGCCGCGUGAGUGAAGAAGGUUGUCGGAUCGUAAAACUCUGUUGGUAGAGAAGAACGUUGGUGAGAGUGGAAAGCUCAUCAAGUGACGGUAACUACCCAGAAAGGGACGGCUAACUACGUG